GAUGAAGAACGUAGCGAAAUGCGAUAAGUAAUGUGAAUUGCAGAAUUCAGUGAAUCAUCGAAUCUUUGAACGCACAUUGUGCCCGCCAGUAUUCUGGCGGGCAUGCCUGUUCGAGCGUCAUUACAACCCUCAGGCCCCCGGGCCUGGCGUUGGGGAUCGGCGGAAGCCCCCUGUGGGCACACGCCGUCCCUCAAAUACAGUGGCGGUCCCGCCGCAGCUUCCAUUGCGUAGUAGCUAACACCUCGCAACUGGAGAGCGGCGCGGCCAUGCCGUAAAACACCCAACUUCUGAAUGUUGACCUCGAAUCAGGUAGGAAUACCCGCUGAACUUAAGCAUAUCAAUAAGCGGAGGA
RNAcentral lists this unclassified non-coding RNA (352 nucleotides) under soil metagenome. RNAcentral describes it as "partial contains 5.8S ribosomal RNA, internal transcribed spacer 2, and large subunit ribosomal RNA". The stretch from base 1 to 120 matches the Rfam family "5.8S ribosomal RNA", at positions 35 to 154 of the family's 154-position model. The record is from RNAcentral.